CAGAGUUGCAAGACUCCCUAACCAUUGUGAACCUACCUUCUACCGUUGCUUCGGCGGGCGGGCCCAGCGCCCCCCCCGGCCCCCCGCGGGCGCCCGCCGGAGGAUACCCAAACUCUUGACAUUAGUGGCCUCUCUGAGUAUUCUUUACUGAAUAAGUCA
Molecule: unclassified non-coding RNA, 159 nt
Filed under: soil metagenome
Description: partial internal transcribed spacer 1
Source: RNAcentral